This 1449-nucleotide unclassified non-coding RNA is filed under the name Hevea brasiliensis (rubber tree). The record is from RNAcentral. Lineage: Eukaryota; Viridiplantae; Streptophyta; Magnoliopsida; Malpighiales; Euphorbiaceae.
GUCAGUGGGGUUGAGUUGACUCCGCCUUUGAAUAAUAAUAAAAAAUAUUUAAAAAACUUUUUUGUAAUAAAAAAUGAGAUAAGAAUAUCACAUGAGCUACACUGUCCACUCCAAGCAGAGAGAAGAGGAAACGAAAUUAGAUUGUGUUAAAGAUUUGCAGCUUUCAGUUAAAUAGGUGUCGUGUCCUGCGAUUAAACCAAUUGGCAAGCAAGAACCAUGUGCAACUGUCUUUUUUUGGACCAAAAUACCCUCGCACUCAUUCUCCUUUAUUCCCUGACAAGCCCACGCCUUCCUCUUUACUUGCUUGUAGUGUGAGUGCCAGUGUGCCACUUCCAAGAGCUACCUCACAAGGAACUACAAAUCUUUAACUUCUGACAUCUCUCUCCCUCUUUCUUUCUUGCUUCAAGUGGAAGCUCGCAUAGAGAGAGAGAGAGCUAAAAUAGGAAAGGGAAAAUGGGUGUAGGCGCCAGCAACUUUGUCAUCAGAUGGAUCAACUUUCUCACCAUGCUUUUAGCUAUAGCUGUCAUAAUUUUUGGAGUAUGGAUGAGCACACAUCAUGACAGCUGCCGAAGGUUUCUCACUCUCCCUGUGCUAGGCCUUGGGGCUUUCAUAUUUGUAAUAUCAAUAAUUGGCUUCUUGGGUGCGCUGAAGAACAACUCCAUAUUGUUGUGGAUUUAUCUGAUUUUGCUGUGCGUCAUUUUGGUGGCUAUUCUGGUUUUCACAGUAUUGGCGUUUAUUGUAACAAAUAAUGGAUCUGGUCAUAGUGUCCCUGGUUUGAGGUAUAAGGAGUAUGAACUUCAGGAUUUCAGCUCAUGGUUUCUUAAACAGCUGAACGAUACCCAAAAUUGGAAGCAAUUGAAGAGUUGUCUUGUGAAAUCUGAUGACUGCAAUAAUCUAUCCAAGAAAUAUAAGGUUCAUCACUUGGCUUCAAAUGAUGACAAUUCUUUGAUUUCCAAAUUCUCAAAUCUCAACAUAAAUCUAGCUGUUUUCACUCGUUGAUUGCAGACUCUUAAGCAGUAUAAGUCAGCAAAGCUGACCCCUAUUGAAGCUGGUUGCUGCCGACCACCAUCCAAGUAAGUAGCUUUAAGUACCUUUUUUUUCCCUCGACAAAUAUUCAAAUGAGUUUAUUAACUCAUUAUGUAAAAAUUGAUGAGAUAACAUGUUCUCUUACUCCUUUGUUUGAUGUUAUUAAACUGUAUUAAGUUUUCAUGUUUUGAAGUUAUGAUCACAUGCCUAUAAAUAUUUGAAUUUAUAUCUUAUAGUGAAAACAUUACUGAUAAACUUGAGAAUUAUGGUGUUACUUUGUCUGCAACUUGCUUCAUAGAUGUGGUUAUCCUGCUGUCAAUGCUUCAUAUUAUGAUUUGAGCUUCCACCCAAUCAGCUCUGACAAGGACUGUAAACUUUACAAAAAUUCUCGGGCUACCAAGUGCUAUAAUUGUGAUUCCUGCA